UUUUUUUUUUUUUUUUUUUUUUUUUUUUUUUUUUUUC
Molecule: non-coding RNA, 37 nt
Filed under: Prorocentrum micans
Lineage: Eukaryota; Dinophyceae; Prorocentrales; Prorocentraceae
Also listed under: 1 other name
Source: RNAcentral